GUAAUGUAUGGGGAUCUGCCCGAUAGAGGGGGAGUAACUACUGGAAACGGUGGCUAAUACCGCAUAAUGUCUACGGACCAAAGCAGGGGCUCUUCGGACCUUGCACUAUCGGAUGAACCCAUAUGGGAUUAGCUAGUAGGUGGGGUAAAGGCUCACCUAGGCGACGAUCUCUAGCUGGUCUGAGAGGAUGAUCAGCCACACUGGGACUGAGACACGGCCCAGACUCCUACGGGAGGCAGCCAUG
Molecule: ribosomal RNA, 244 nt
Filed under: uncultured bacterium
Lineage: Bacteria
Description: partial 16S ribosomal RNA
Rfam family: Bacterial small subunit ribosomal RNA
Source: RNAcentral